AGUAAUGCAUAGAUAAUGUGCCCCUUAGUUCGGGAUAGCCACUGGAAACGGUGAUUAAUACCGGAUACUCCUUCUUGUUAUAAGACAAGUCGGGAAAGUUUUUCGCUAAGGGAUCAGUCUAUGUUCCAUCAGCUUGUUGGUGAGGUAAUGGCUCACCAAGGCUAUGACGGAUAUCUGGUUUGAGAGGAUGAUCAGACACACUGGAACUGAGACACGGUCCAGACUCCUACGGGAGGCAGCAGUGAGGAAUAUUGCACAAUGGAGGAAACUCUGAUGCAGCAACGCCGCGUGGAGGAUGACGCAUUUCGGUGUGUAAACUCCUUUUAUUAGGGAAGAUAAUGACGGUACCUAAUGAAUAAGCACCGGCUAACUCCGUGCCAGCAGCCGCGGUAAUACGGAGGGUGCAAGCGUUACUCGGAAUCACUGGGCGUAAAGGGUGCGUAGGCUGGCUUUUAAGUCAGAUGUGAAAUCCAAUGGCUCAACCAUUGAACUGCAUUUGAAACUGAAAGCCUAGAGUUCAGAAGGGGCAGAUGGAAUUAGUGGUGUAGGGGUAAAAUCCGUAGAUAUCACUAGGAAUAUCAAAAGCGAAGGCGAUCUGCUGGGAUGAUA
This 609-nucleotide ribosomal RNA is filed under the name uncultured bacterium. RNAcentral's name for it is "bacterial SSU rRNA". It matches the Rfam family "Bacterial small subunit ribosomal RNA", at positions 109 to 739 of the family's 1533-position model. The record is from RNAcentral.